This 1857-nucleotide small RNA is filed under the name Rattus norvegicus (Norway rat). RNAcentral describes it as "uncharacterized LOC102553541". The record is from RNAcentral. Lineage: Eukaryota; Metazoa; Chordata; Mammalia; Rodentia; Muridae.
UCCCAGCACCACAGCAGAUAGAUCAUAAACCUGCAACUCUGAUCCAAGAGGACCCCACAUUCUCUUCUGGCUUCCAAAGGUACCUGCACCCACAUGGCAGACCCUUCCAUAGACGUAGCUCUCUCUGAUAAACACCGCAGUUUGCCUGAGCACAGAGCCAGAAUAAUAUUAAUAAUAUUGAGGGUUUGUAUGGCCACACAUAUAAUUACUAUAGUGAGAGCCCAAAGCAAAAAGAAGAUAUGGCUCGUGAGCCAAAGGGGGCAGAAGGGACAGAUGUGACUUUCACCCAGCUGGGAGAAGUCACAGGGCACUGGGGGAAAGGGAUUAUAAAGAGAAGGUGCUUCUCCAUCCUAAAAAGUCAGAGGUGGGAAACGGAAAUGAAUGCAGCCCCAGCUGGCUGUUAGUAGGAGGUGUGCCUCUGACGUGGAGGGAGGAAGGGCCGUUCAGCUCUGCUUCUGCCUUCUUGGCAGAAACCUCCCGCACCGGGCUGUACUGACCACUCUGUUCUGCCUCCUUCUCUCCUCCAGGAAAACACCCACUUUUCCAGGAAUUCACAGUGACGCCUAUGCCACACAAAGUUAUUCUUAGAAACUGACUUGAUGAAAUAUUCAGAACUGUAAACAACAUGCACGCGCUUUAGGUCCCAAGUAUGCUUGCGCGGCGUCCCAGUUGGCUGCAAAGUAGAUCCCCGGGGAAAGAAAGGGUGUUCUUCGAUAAAAGUCUGGACUGUACCUGCCAGAGAAUGUUCAAAACAGGAAGCAGCGCCGGCUCUGAGAGUCAGGCACAGCCGCCGAGCUGAAGCAGGACAGUAUCCCCAAGGACCCAUCAGGGCGUGCUGGGCUGUGGCCGCUGCUGUUUAUUUGUCCUUGGUCGGUGAGGCAAUAACUCCAGGCCUGCUUCACGGAGAUUGCAGAAGUGGAGUAACAGGUCAGGUGGCCUGAGACCAACAUGCCAACAACUGUCUCAGGACGAAACGUGCCCAACAGCAGAUCUGUCAUGAAACCUCUCAAGGCACACGCCCAUAGCCGGAUCGCCACAUAGUGGUCUUGAUGUGGAGAAAUCCGGAGGAGACUAUCUUAAGAGAGAAAGGGCUUUCACUGGGAGGAAAGGAGCUCUUGUAUCCCAAGCUGGCCAUGAAUUCACAACGUAGUGGAGGAUGACCGUGAACUUCUGACGCUCUGACCUCUACCUCCUGGGAUUAGAGGUAGCUCAUUAUUGAACAUCUUCCAUUGUCUGGAUGGAACAGAAUGCACUUCUCCGCCUACUGAAGGAUACCUCAGUGCUUCCAAGCUUUGGCUGUUACCACCAAGGCGUCUAUGAACACGGGUGUACAGGUUCUGAGGAUACAGCCUCUAGUCUUCUUCACCCGACCCUCCUCUGAGCUCUCCCACAUCUGUGCUGCUCUGUUACCACCCAGUCUUGCCCAGUCUCCUGCCAGGACUCUCCCUGCCCAGGCCACAGGCUGGCCUUUUGCCCCAGACGCAGCAAACUGAGAAGAUGUUGGACCACUCAUCCUGCUUCCUCCUGGGAAAAUCUGAGCCCUGAUCUCUCCAGGUGGCCAUUGGUUGACUCACUGGCACCCCCUGCUGUCGGAGAUGUAGAAACCUGAAAAUGAUACAAGAAGAAAGUGCCAAAACCUGGAAGCUGUGUGCAAAAAUGUCCAUAGCAUUUUAUUCAGAGCAGACACAAAUUAGAAUAUUUCCCAGUGUCCCUCUACAGGAAGGCAGGCACACAACGGUAACUUCACAGUGCAUCACAGCAUCAAAACGUGUGGUGGGCAAAGCUUCUCAUCACAAGGGGGUCGGGAAGGAAAGGCAGAGCUGAGAGAUCUAGAACAAUACAAAUACUUCUUUUAAA